This 253-nucleotide ribosomal RNA is filed under the name uncultured bacterium. Its description in RNAcentral is "partial 16S ribosomal RNA". It matches the Rfam family "Bacterial small subunit ribosomal RNA", at positions 524 to 776 of the family's 1533-position model. The record is from RNAcentral.
UACGUAGGGGGCAAGCGUUGUCCGGAUUUAUUGGGCGUAAAGGGCGUGUAGGCGGCCAGACAGGUCCGUUGUGAAAACUCGAGGCUCAACCUCGAGAUGUCGAUGGAAACCGUCUGGCUAGAGUCCGGAAGAGGAGUGUGGAAUUCCUGGUGUAGCGGUGAAAUGCGCAGAUAUCAGGAAGAACACCUAUGGCGAAGGCAGCACUCUGGGACGGUACUGACGCUGAGACGCGAAAGCGUGGGGAGCGAACAGG